UGGUUCAGGCAUGCAAGUCGAACGGUCCCGCAAGGGACAGUGGCAGAAGGGUGAGUAACACGUGGGUAACCUACCCCCGAGUCGGAGAUAACCCCGCGAAAGCGGGGCUAAUACCCGAUGAUAUCCCAAUCUCAUAAGAGGAUGGGAUCAAAAGUGGCUCGUAAGAGCUGCUGCUUGAGGAGGGGCCCGCGGCCUAUCAGCUAGUUGGUGAGGUAACGGCCCACCAAGGCGAUUGACGGGUAGCUGGUCUAAGAGGACGGUCAGCCACAUUGGGACUGAGACACUGCCCAGACUCCUACGGGAGGCUGCAGUCGAGGAUCUUUAGCAAUGCCCGAAAGGGUGACUUGCGACGCCGCGUGCAGGAUGAAGGCCUUCGGGCCGCAGCUUC
Molecule: ribosomal RNA, 388 nt
Filed under: uncultured organism
Description: bacterial SSU rRNA
Rfam family: Bacterial small subunit ribosomal RNA
Source: RNAcentral